RNA transcript from Syzygium oleosum, 1190 nucleotides. It is a transcript of the gene named DNA-directed RNA polymerases II and V subunit 6B-like, with no coding region annotated. The record is from RefSeq and is a predicted model, not a curated record. Lineage: Eukaryota; Viridiplantae; Streptophyta; Magnoliopsida; Myrtales; Myrtaceae. The transcript is spliced from 7 exons.
CUCGCAGUUGCAGCCUUGCAGGUAAAGGAGACGACGACCCACGCUCCACUUGCAGUCCUGCUUGCUUCCUAGAACGUUGGAAGCGGAGACGAGAGGAGGGAGGAGGGUUUUUCCUUGGCGGGGUUUUGUUUUUUUUUAUCUCCUCGUCACCUGAGAACCAUAGAGGAGAGCUCUUUCGCCGAUCGCAAUGGCCGACGACGACUACAACGACAUGGACAUGGGAAAUGAGGAUGAACCACCAGAGCCUGAGAUUGAGGAAGGUGUGGAGGAUGAAUUGGAUAACAACAACAAUGAAGACGUUCCACACCCUCUUGAUACCGAAGAUAAAGGAGAGCAGGAACCUGUAGAACGGCCUCAUAAGACAUCAAUGUACAUGACCAAAUAUGAGCGCGCAAGGAUUUUGGGCACUCGUGCCUUGCAGAUCAGCAUGAAUGCACCUGUAAUGGUUGAGUUGGAGGGCGAAACUGAUCGUCUAGAGAUUGCAAUGAAGGAGCUUCGAGAGAGGAAAAUACCAUUCACCAUCCGCCGCUACCUUCCAGAUGGAAGUUAUGAGGAUUGGGGAGUUGAUGAGUUAAUUGUGGAAGAUUCCUGGAAGAGGCAAGUUGGUGGUGAUUGAUGCCUGCCUUGCAUCAAGUUGAAGAGUGGAUCCAUGAUCCAUGCUUAAAUGCUAGUGGUUUUAUCCAGUGCUGUGAGAAAACCAGCAAACAGACUUUCACAUGCAUCAGGAUGCUGAACCUUCUGAUUUACACAUUGAUGCUCCGUCCUUGGAUCUUGAGAGAUAUGGUAACUUUAGUGGCUCACAUGCUGAUUGGCUCAUCAGAAUUUACUGGUUAUCGUAGUUUCAAAUUGGUUCUUCCACGAUUUUUGGCCAUUUAUGUGAAAGAUCGAAGAAUGCCAUGCUGAUCGACCAUGUGAAAGCCGGAUGCGUGGAUGCUUGCAACCUACCCUUGCUUUCGGAGGCAUUCGCAAUACGAAAACCAGACAGAUUAGAUGGUGACCACGUGGUUUUCGUCCUCAGGAUGUGGGGACUGGCAAGUUUUUGUUUAGUAAUCGUGUGAUUCCCGUGGAUUGGCCAACUAGAAGUGAUUACUUUAUCGAUGGGCAAUCUCGGUCAUAUCCAGAAUCUUUUUCUUUAGUAAUUUGUGCCCCCGAAACAUGACUCGUCCACAAAUCAGAAAUCAUUUACGUGA